RNAcentral lists this long non-coding RNA (207 nucleotides) under Elaeis guineensis (African oil palm). RNAcentral's name for it is "long non-coding RNA (EGUI_LNC032992)". The record is from RNAcentral. Lineage: Eukaryota; Viridiplantae; Streptophyta; Magnoliopsida; Arecales; Arecaceae.
GGGGAGUAGAUGAAAUUCUUCAAUCUAAAUUUGUAUUUUAUUUUUUGAUCUUAUUGUGUAUUUUUUUUAUUAUGCAAUCAACUAUUUGAAUAUUGUAAGAUUUUUUUUAAAUAAUAUUAAAUAUAUAGCAAAAUAUGAAUAGUUUUUGUGAUUUUAUUCAUGUGUUCAAGUAGUAGUUUUCAUUAUUUUAUGAGAGAUUUUUGAAUA